Molecule: ribosomal RNA, 996 nt
Filed under: Penicillium aurantiogriseum
Lineage: Eukaryota; Fungi; Ascomycota; Eurotiomycetes; Eurotiales; Aspergillaceae
Description: SSU rRNA
Rfam family: Eukaryotic small subunit ribosomal RNA
Source: RNAcentral
AAUGGCUCAUUAAAUCAGUUAUCGUUUAUUUGAUAGUACCUUACUACAUGGAUACCUGUGGUAAUUCUAGAGCUAAUACAUGCUAAAAACCCCGACUUCAGGAAGGGGUGUAUUUAUUAGAUAAAAAACCAACGCCCUUCGGGGCUCCUUGGUGAAUCAUAAUAACUUAACGAAUCGCAUGGCCUUGCGCCGGCGAUGGUUCAUUCAAAUUUCUGCCCUAUCAACUUUCGAUGGUAGGAUAGUGGCCUACCAUGGUGGCAACGGGUAACGGGGAAUUAGGGUUCGAUUCCGGAGAGGGAGCCUGAGAAACGGCUACCACAUCCAAGGAAGGCAGCAGGCGCGCAAAUUACCCAAUCCCGAUACGGGGAGGUAGUGACAAUAAAUACUGAUACGGGGCUCUUUUGGGUCUCGUAAUUGGAAUGAGAACAAUUUAAAUCCCUUAACGAGGAACAAUUGGAGGGCAAGUCUGGUGCCAGCAGCCGCGGUAAUUCCAGCUCCAAUAGCGUAUAUUAAAGUUGUUGCAGUUAAAAAGCUCGUAGUUGAACCUUGGGCCUGGCUGGCCGGUCCGCCUCACCGCGAGUACUGGUCCGGCUGGGCCUUUCCUUCUGGGGAACCUCAUGGCCUUCACUGGCUGUGGGGGGAACCAGGACUUUUACUGUGAAAAAAUUAGAGUGUUCAAAGCAGGCCUUUGCUCGAAUACAUUAGCAUGGAAUAAUAGAAUAGGACGUGUGGUUCUAUUUUGUUGGUUUCUAGGACCGCCGUAAUGAUUAAUAGGGAUAGUCGGGGGCGUCAGUAUUCAGCUGUCAGAGGUGAAAUUCUUGGAUUUGCUGAAGACUAACUACUGCGAAAGCAUUCGCCAAGGAUGUUUUCAUUAAUCAGGGAACGAAAGUUAGGGGAUCGAAGACGAUCAGAUACCGUCGUAGUCUUAACCAUAAACUAUGCCGACUAGGGAUCGGACGGGAUUCUAUAAUGACCCGUUCGGCACCUUACGAGAAA